GAUGAACGCUGGCGGCGUGCUUAACACAUGCAAGUCGAACGAUGAAGCUCAGCUUGCUGGGUGGAUUAGUGGCGAACGGGUGAGUAACACGUGAGUAACCUGCCCUUAACUCUGGGAUAAGCCUGGGAAACUAGGUCUAAUACCGGAUAGGAGCGCCUACCGCAUGGUGGGUGUUGGAAAGAUUUAUCGGUUUUGGAUGGACUCGCGGCCUAUCAGCUUGUUGGUGAGGUAAUGGCUCACCAAGGCGACGACGGGUAGCCGGCCUGAGAGGGUGACCGGCCACACUGGGACUGAGACACGGCCCAGACUCCUACGGGAGGCAGCAGUGGGGAAUAUUGCACAAUGGGCGAAAGCCUGAUGCAGCGACGCCGCGUAAGGGAUGACGGCCUUCGGGUUGUAAACCUCUUUCAGUAGGGAAGAAGCGAAAGUGACGGUACCUGCAGAAGAAGCACCGGCUAACUACGUG
Molecule: ribosomal RNA, 466 nt
Filed under: uncultured bacterium
Lineage: Bacteria
Description: partial 16S ribosomal RNA
Rfam family: Bacterial small subunit ribosomal RNA
Source: RNAcentral